This 558-nucleotide long non-coding RNA is filed under the name Marmota monax (woodchuck). Lineage: Eukaryota; Metazoa; Chordata; Mammalia; Rodentia; Sciuridae. The record is from RNAcentral.
UUAUCCUAAAUGGUCCUAAUUUACUUAUUUUGGGGGCCAUCUCCAAAGCAAGUACAAUAAGAUUAACCUCUCUCAGAGUUGUAACAAGAAUAUUGUCAGAGUUCAAUAAAUUUUUUAAAAAUCCAAAAAUCCAUGGUUUAAUACAGUCAAAUGCAUUACUAUUCUCUUUUGUUCACUGUAGAUGUUAUUGUAGGUGGUUUCCUAUGAUGAGUAAAACAAGUACAUGGUCAUGUUGACACAUUAAUUUGUGGGUUAGGGAUUUUAGAUUUCAGUUCAGUUUUAACAUCAAUUUACAAAGAGAAGCAGACAGAAUCUUGUAGUCAACAUAUUUUACAAUAACACCAUUCACUGAUGUCAAGCAACUCAGACUGAGAUUGAUAAAAAAGAAAGAAAGAAACUAAACCAAUAAAUCCAGUCCUUGAAAUCAACAGAAAAUCAAGAAUCUGUAACAAUCAAUAUUGAAAAAGUACAUGAGACUCAAAAGAAAAUAUAUUUAAAGACAGAUUUAUACAUUUAUUGAUCUUGCAACAUUUUACAGUGCCAAAAAUCUACAACAGA